This 247-nucleotide ribosomal RNA is filed under the name uncultured bacterium. RNAcentral's name for it is "partial 16S ribosomal RNA". It matches the Rfam family "Bacterial small subunit ribosomal RNA", at positions 523 to 769 of the family's 1533-position model. The record is from RNAcentral.
AUACGUAGGGGGGCGAGCGUUGUCCGGAUUUACUGGGCGUAAAGGGUGAGUAGGCGGUUGCAUAUGUCAGAUGUAAAAGGCACAGGCUCAACUUGUGUUAGCAUUUGAAACUGUGCGACUUGAGUGCAGGAGAGGUAAGUGGAAUUCCUAGUGUAGCGGUGAAAUGCGUAGAUAUUAGGAGGAACACCAGUGGCGAAGGCGACUUACUGGACUGUAACUGACGCUGAGUCACGAAAGCGUGGGUAGC